AACUUCAGAAGAAACAAGUAUAAUAACGAAGUUCAACAGGCCUUUCUAAUCAGAAUCAAGCCAGAAUUGACUGGUUUCUCCCAGAAGCAUGGUGAUACCAAAUUAAGAAGGAGGUUAGCGGAUAAUCUUCGUUACUUCACUGGCACAAAUGAAGAUGAAAUGGGAAGAAAAAUUAUACUACAGGCAUACGAAGUAAUUAAAUUUACAUUAAUGCUACCAAGAAAUGUGAGCAACUUUUUCUUACUGGGAAAUACUCUAAAAGGUCAGUAGGUCUGACAAACGUCUUAUCCUUAAACAUAGUAAAUAAUUUCUCGACACGACAAACAUAGUCAAAAUGUCUUUUCAUAGUGACGCCAAUAUCCAAAUAAUAACCUGCAGGGUGUGAAACAUUACUGUGCUGCAAGUCAAGCGAGAACUAGAUGGUUAUCAUAAACUGCAAUAGAGAAGUUUCAGCUAUGGUUCCCAUUUAACUCAGGCCUACCAAAGGGCUAAGCAGUUCUGCUGAUCAAAAUAAUGAACUGAACUACUAGUCAGUGAGUAUGAAUUACCUAAUCUCUAUAUAGUGUUCAGGCUUAGAAACAAGUGUUUUUAUCAAAUGAACCAAGCAAGACACAAAAGGACAAAUACCAUAUGAGUUCACCUAUAUGAAGUACAUAGACCAUUUAAGUUCAUAGAGACAGAAAUGACACUAAUAGUGGUUACCAGAGGCUAGGGGAGGUAGAAAUGGGCAGUUGUUUAAUGGAUAUUAUUUUAGAUUGGGGUGAUGAAAAAUUCUGGAAUGAAUAAUAGUAAUAGUUUUACAACAAUAUGAAUGCACCUAAUGCUAUUGAACUAUAUACUAGAAAAUAGCUAAAAUGGUAAAUCUUGUUAUAUAUAGAUCUAGAUCUAGAUCUAGAUAGACUGAUCUAUUGAGCCAAAUACCCUGAGCUUUAGUGUUAGAAAACAGUUAAGAACCAAUGGGAUCAAAGCAGGAUACAUGCUACUGAAUAAACAAUUUCUGCAGCUCUUUCUUUGCA
This 1016-nucleotide long non-coding RNA is filed under the name Oryctolagus cuniculus (rabbit). RNAcentral describes it as "lncRNA (ENSOCUG00000034093.1)". Lineage: Eukaryota; Metazoa; Chordata; Mammalia; Lagomorpha; Leporidae. The record is from RNAcentral.